Drosophila yakuba is the source of this 2049-nucleotide long non-coding RNA. RefSeq lists it as uncharacterized. The transcript has 2 exons. The record is from RefSeq and is a predicted model, not a curated record. Lineage: Eukaryota; Metazoa; Arthropoda; Insecta; Diptera; Drosophilidae.
GUUGCCUGCACGAAGAGAAAUCGGUGAGUUCAUUGGCAAGAUGAUUAUUAUUGAAAGUUUAAUGUUUGUUUUAAAUGCCAGUUACCGUAGAAGAUAUUUUAUAAAUUGUUAUGUGAAUAAUAUUAUUUAUAAACUAAUUUUUUUCAAGUGCACAGGUUUUACUGAGCGAAGGACUUCCGCGCAUUGAUCGAAUCUGCGAGCCGCAUAAGCUUCAAGCUUUCAUUCAGUUCCCACAUUGGCUAUCCAAUUUCUACACUCUCCACAUAGGCGGCUUUUGAUUGUGCACCACAUGGUGGAGGGGGCAAAUCAAGUAUCAAAACUGCGAAAAAGUGCGACGUUUUAUGGCUCAAUGGGUCGCGCGGCGUCAACAAGUCAACGUUGCGGUCAAUCGCAGCACAUUACUCAUACGCCGUGUGGCCGGGGCAGGCAAAGAGCUUAAAUCACUGCGUGUCGGCCAUUUCGCGUGUGUGCGAUUGUGUGAGUUAGGUUAUGGUCAGGGUUAUUAUCCCUUUGGGGCCACUUGCGACUCAUCAGCCCAUAGACAUGUGCGGCUCAUCAAUAAGGGCGAACAUAAAAGGGGAAGUAGCUGCGUCGAUGGGUCGAUGGCAGUCAUUAAAUCACUGCAGAAGCACACAAAAUCACGACCGAUGUAUGGAUUGGUUCAAGGUUAUCAAUGCGUAAACAUUUUCCGGGCCUUUUAAGGAUGUGGGUGUUAACUAAGCGGCACGGAAUUCAGCCAUUUGUGUUUUGAUUAUAAAAUGUAGUAUUGUUGAUAAAUGUCUUAUAUUUCUACUUUUACUUAGCUCCAGGGAAAUAAAUUAAAUGGUUUCUGUAACACGUGCUCCAUAAUAAUAAGUCAACAUGAAUACGCCCAGGAACAAGUUGAAGACCUUUUUAAGAAACAAAUGCAUUAAAAAUGGACAUUAAAAGCGAAUAAUAUCAACAGGCUGGGACCAAGAAACCCAUGCACCAAUUCCACAACACGUUCACGUGCUUUUGGGCAUUCGGAAUGGAUGGAAAACCGGCAACGGAAGUUCGUUUUAAUGAAGAUUAACCACGCACAAAAGAUAACGAUGCCGCGGAUGGAAACGUAUAUGGAUGAAAUCUACAUAUCAUAUUAUAUAUGCAGACACACGAUUCGAAAGACGCCGGCCGAGUUGCGAGUUGGCUAAAAGGAAUUCCAAGCACAGGAAGUCGUCCUUGGCACCUGACCAACGGAAUAUGGAAAUGAGCGAGGAAACCCAAUUUCUAUUAAGUUAAUGCUCACUCGGCUAUUAUGGCCACCUUUUGUUGGCGUGAAAAGCUUUAGAAAAUCAAUGUCAAUGGUGCCAGGGCCAGAUGGGUGUUGAAAAUGGAAUGCUCCUUUGAUCCACUCCAGAUUCAUUCAGCCUGACAUUCUCAGCCACAAAUUACCAAUUAUGCCAACACUCUCCUCUUAAUAUGUAUUUUUAUAUACAUGUAUGUACACGAAACUUUUAUUUUUGUUCUGUGUGAUUUGUUCAUUACACAAGCCAUGCAUAAUAAAUGAUUUUUGCGUACAAUCUGCAUUUCAAUUUUGACAACAAAAAGGGAUUACUGGCUUUGCCAUUCAAAUAAAAUUUAUCUUUGGCCUGGAGUCUGUAAAUAAAUCGAGUGUAAUACAAUAUUGAAUGAGUCAAUUUUGAAGCUUAGCAAAUGGAACCAUUUUUUAUGUGUGUCAAAGUGGAUCAAAGGAUAAUUCCAUAGGAAAAUAUAUUUCGUAGUUUUCUAAGCAAACAGAUGUUGCAGUUGGCUGUUGAACUAUAGCAAACAGACUGCUUCCAUUUUGAUGUAUUCUAGUGUAGAAAUAAAAAUCUGGAAGCUGAAUAAUCCAGUAAACAGUUGUAAAACAAAAUGACCAUUGUAAAGGAAAUUCGAUAAGACUGUGAGAAAAGGAAAUGCUUACAAAUGGAAAAGCUGACAGGAAAGGGACUCUCAUAGUUUUACAGUGUAUGGGAUGCCUUAUAAAUCAAUUGUAAUAAAUUACGUUGUGCUGAAUUCUUAAAUAAAAAGUCUCUAAUUAAAACUGGA